RNA transcript from Girardinichthys multiradiatus, 2445 nucleotides. It is a transcript of the gene named cornichon family AMPA receptor auxiliary protein 2, with no coding region annotated. The transcript is spliced from 8 exons. NCBI's taxonomy places the organism in Eukaryota, Metazoa, Chordata, Actinopteri, Cyprinodontiformes, Goodeidae. The record is from RefSeq and is a predicted model, not a curated record.
GCCACUGGUUCAUUCUGUUUGUUACCUGAAUCCAUGCUUCUGUCAUGUUCUGUGGGACUAGGAUACUAGUGGAGGCAACAAGCAUGGAGACAGAAUGAAAGUUUGAACAAGUUUAUCCUCAGGAAGUGACAGCUGCUCGAUCAGCUGGGGGCCACAGCGUGUUGAAGCACUGAAGAAAAGGCGAGCGUGAGUUAUGGAGGCAAGUGAAUGGUGGGUUGAGAUGAUGCUUUCUUGGGAGUAGAAAAUGUUCCAUGAGAAGUAAGCCACGGAGACUGAGUUUUGGCAGACUGAAUUAAGCUGCAAGGAGUUCCUUCCAGGAGGUCUAGGGAAAUGAGAGAAGGCUUCAAGUGAUACAUACAUCCACUGGAUAAAGGAUGGGACGAAGACUGAGAAACCAGGCAAGUGUCCUUAGAGCAAUAACUUUGAGGAAGGAGCAGCACCGCCAAGCAGGUUAAGAGCUUUUCUUGAUUGCUCCUUGAUGAGCAACAGCUGUAUGGCUGCUCCUGCCUGUCUCACCCUGUGGAAAAAAGAAGUGAAAAAUUUUCCUGCACGUUGGAGAAGAUCUGAUUUAAAGGCUCUCUUUUGAGGGGAGAAAUCUGAGGAAUGCAUCUGAGACGUAGAUACAGGGAAAACAAUACUGACAUGGUGCCGACCCAAACUGACAGAAACAAGGACAGAGUGGACUGUUCAGAGGCAGACACGACUCCUACCAGACACAGGUAUUCUCUACUCGAUGUUAAGGUCAGUUAAAAUAUUAAUCCAUGCUUUGAUUGUGUAUUUAUUGAUCCUUUAAGUGUUAAAAUUUUUGUGUUAAUUCCAAACUUAUAUGUGCUGUCUAAAUCUUAUUUUGGUAAAUUACUGGAUCAACAAGUAAUCUGCUUUUUCACAAUAAGCCUGAGUAGUGAGUAAAGCAAUAUGUUCAACUGUAGGUAAGAAAUAUUAAUCUUCAACAGUUUAAUAAUCGAAAUAAGCUAUACACCAACUAUGGAUCUUUACAAAGUCGUUAAACAUGAUCUGGAAUAACCAGACUAUAAGCCAUAAACCUGACUACUUAAAUACCAUAAGCCAUAACCAUCCUGGACAGUAAUCUUGUUUUUUUUUUUUUACUGCUCUUAAUAUCGACAAGAAUCCUGUGCUUCUGCUGUCAGCUGUCCAUCAGACACUUUUACCUUCAGAGACAAAUGUGUAGGUUUUGUCUCAGGAGAAACUCCUUGGGGGAGGAGGACACAUAUAUUUUGCCUGUCAGAGACUGAAAAAGAGAAGCACCGGGGGCCAACAACAGACAACUGUGGCUGAGAGCAAAUUUCCUCAGAGCUUCCCAAACCCUAGCGAGACGGCCGCCGUCUUGCUGUCAGCUACACAAAAGGAGACAAAUAGUGAACGCAGCACAGCCGGAGCUUGAGCUCACUAUUGAUUGUUACUUUAAGUGAUUGCUCGACCUACCAGGACUAUAUAGACUCUGCUUGCACCUGAAGUGGAAACAGACAGUAAGCCCCACUCAGGUAGAAGAGGGAGGGAAAGAUACCAGUAGCCUGAAAGUGAUUCAAAGAGAGCAGGCAGGAAGUUUUUCUUCCUUCCCUCUGGUCAUCAAGCUGGCUGGUGCACCCAUGGCGUUCACCUUCGCGGCCUUCUGCUACAUGCUCACCUUGGUACUGUGUGCUGGGCUCAUCUUCUUUGUCAUAUGGCAGAUCAUUGCGUUUGAUGAACUCCGCACAGACUUCAAAAACCCCAUUGAUCAGAGCAAUCCCACCAGAGCGAGAGAAAGGAUCUUGAACAUCGAACGGAUCUGCAACCUGCUCCGCAGAUUGGUGGUACCAGAGUACUCCAUCCACGGCCUCUUCUGCUUGAUGUUCAUGUGUGCUGGAGAGUGGGUCACACUUGGCCUCAAUAUACCGCUGCUCUUCUACCAUCUGUGGAGGUACGGUCCCACAGCAGAUGUCUGAUCACUGUGUGUUGAACCGAUGACCCAAAACCGCUGUUCUUUCAGGUUUUUGCAUCGACCAGCUGACGGGUCAGAGGUGAUGUAUGAUCCCGUCAGUGUGAUGAAUGCUGACAUUCUCAACUACUGUCAGAAGGAGUCCUGGUGUAAGCUAGGCUUCUACUUGCUCUCUUUCUUCUAUUACUUGUACAGUAUGGUCUACGCCUUGGUGAGCUUCUAACAAGUGAUGUAAAGAUCUAACUUGAAGGACCUUUAUGAUAUCCAAAACAGAUGGAGGCAAACUCUUCUUCUUUUCAUGUUUGCUGACUUUUUUGGCCAUCUUUUGGGCAAAAUAAGAAGACCGAUCUGACUGAAUGUGAGUGUGAUGGUGUUACUUAAGAUCUAUUUUAACCCUUCAUCCCAGAAACCACAGUCAGAUGCCUGGAGAAAAACAGCUCUGAAAGACUGAAAAGAAACAAAAAGAGGAUGUUUGAGAUGCCUUUGACCCAAUACACCAUUUACAAAUA